GACGAACGCUGGCGGCGUGCUUAACACAUGCAAGUCGAACGGAAAGGCCCUGCUUUUGUGGGGUGCUCGAGUGGCGAACGGGUGAGUAACACGUGAGUAACCUGCCCUUGACUUUGGGAUAACUUCAGGAAACUGGGGCUAAUACCGGAUAGGAGCUCCUGCUGCAUGGUGGGGGUUGGAAAGUUUCGGCGGUUGGGGAUGGACUCGCGGCUUAUCAGCUUGUUGGUGGGGUAGUGGCUUACCAAGGCUUUGACGGGUAGCCGGCCUGAGAGGGUGACCGGCGACGUUGGGACUGAGAUACGGACCAGACUCCUACGGGAGGCAGCAGUGGGGAAUAUUGCACAAUGGGCGGAAGCCUGAUGAAGAAACGCCGCGUGCGGGAUGACGGCCUUCGGGUUGUAAACCGCUUUCGCCUGUGACGAAGCGUGAGUGACGGUAAUGGGUAAAGAAGCACCGGCUAACUACGUG
RNAcentral lists this ribosomal RNA (468 nucleotides) under uncultured bacterium. RNAcentral describes it as "partial 16S ribosomal RNA". It matches the Rfam family "Bacterial small subunit ribosomal RNA", at positions 28 to 507 of the family's 1533-position model. The record is from RNAcentral.